AUGGAGGUUUUGGAAGAUCGUAGAGUUCCUUUGGUCGCAUACAAGCUGAAAGGUGGGGCUGGUGCAUGGUGGCACCGUGUUCAAGAAGAGCGCAGGCUGAGGGGAGAACCUCGUGUAAGAACUUGGCGGCAAAUGAAAAGCCUUUUGAAAGGGAGAUUUUUACCUGUUGAUUAUGACCAGAUCCUAUUUAUCAAAUUCCAAAAUUGUGCUCAAGGAAAUAGGACUGUUUCAGAUUAUACGAAGGAGUUUCUAAGGCUACAAGUGAGGUGCAACCUUGCUGAAACUGAAGAUCAACAAGUUGCAAGGUACGUCAAUGGUCUCAAUGAUGCUAUUCAAGUUUGA
This 342-nucleotide ribosomal RNA is filed under the name Triticum aestivum (bread wheat). RNAcentral's name for it is "partial small subunit ribosomal RNA". The record is from RNAcentral. Lineage: Eukaryota; Viridiplantae; Streptophyta; Magnoliopsida; Poales; Poaceae.